UNGGUAUCUCAUUGGUGUCUUAUGCUUGA
RNAcentral lists this non-coding RNA (29 nucleotides) under Mus musculus (house mouse). The record is from RNAcentral. Lineage: Eukaryota; Metazoa; Chordata; Mammalia; Rodentia; Muridae.